Molecule: long non-coding RNA, 542 nt
Organism: Apis cerana (Asiatic honeybee)
Lineage: Eukaryota; Metazoa; Arthropoda; Insecta; Hymenoptera; Apidae
Source: RefSeq, a predicted model, not a curated record
UUACCGGAGUCGUUUUCCGGACACCGAGCAGAACGGACGUAUUAUUCUUCGUUCCUCGCAAGAAUAUCGUAUUGUUUAAUAGAUUAAUUAAUUUUGUUUAAAUAAUUAUAAAUUAUAGUGAUUAUAUUAGUGAUUAUUGUGAUUAUUGUAAAGAAAAAGUGCAUCGUUAAAAAACGAGUGGGUGUAAAAAUUGUGGAUAAAAAAUUUGAAGUGUAAUUUUUUUUAAAAUUCUUACAAUUAUGAAAAUAUUUAAGUUGCGUCAUCGAAGUUUUUUAACGAGAGGAAUCAGCCUGGCGGGGAAAUUAGGCUGGCGACACAAUGGACGGCCAGGUAUUACAGGAUCCCCCUCGGUCUUAAAAUCACCAUCCAUCACCCGGAUCGGACGGUUGCCUACGUCUAAUAUUAUUAUCAUAAUGUCAUCCUCCCCCCGUCCAUUGUGGGAAGGGGAUCGACGCCCCACAAUGGCGCGAGAAACGCGCGAGAUUUGUCUCGUUGUCGACACGUUUGACAAAUAAUAAAUCGUUAUACGCGCUUCGGCGUUA